Molecule: small nucleolar RNA, 146 nt
Filed under: Microcebus murinus (gray mouse lemur)
Lineage: Eukaryota; Metazoa; Chordata; Mammalia; Primates; Cheirogaleidae
Description: Small nucleolar RNA SNORA57 (ENSMICG00000022535.3)
Rfam family: Small nucleolar RNA SNORA57
About the family: U99 belongs to the H/ACA class of snoRNAs which are thought to guide the sites of modification of uridines to pseudouridines, the target for this family is unknown.
Source: Rfam by way of RNAcentral
CCUUUUCUUGGCAGGGACUGGGCAUGUGGUCCCACUCCCUGCUAUGUACAAAGGCAGAGGGAAAGGGCUCCAGCCCCCUCAGGGUCACGCUGUCAAUGUUGGUGGCUUCCCAUCUGCUGGUUCUAUCCUCACGUGCUAGGAUCCUG